AGAGUAAAAUUUUUAAAGGGGCAGUGUAAUGGGUGCUCAUUUUGUGUAUAAAAUAGUUUCUUACAUUAUAAGUAGAGUCGAUCAUGAUGGGUUGGCCUUGGCCACAAUGUAAACUUUUAAAUUGGCCUGGCCUGCAGCUCAAUAAGAAUAAGUAGUUAAGUACAGUUCAGGCCUGAGGACUGGCCCAUUAUCAACUCUAGUUAUAAGGCAUGAGGGGACUAACAGCCAAGUCUCAACUUUCCCAAAUGUGGAUGGUUCAAAGAGCUUUUCAUUCGCAAUAACAAGCGCACUAAAAUAAUUUUCAUUAUAAAAAUGAAUAAAAUUGUAUAACUGGUGAUCCAAUUUAAAGACGAGUUUAAGUGGUAUCUAUUUAACUUUAUGUUGGAUAAAUUUUCAAAUAUUUAUUAAACUUGUUGGGAGACUUAAAAGUACGCUGGCUUGCACAAGUAUAUUAGAUGCCAAUAAGCUGAGGCUUGUUAGCAUCGAGCCCCAU
Molecule: long non-coding RNA, 493 nt
Filed under: Elaeis guineensis (African oil palm)
Lineage: Eukaryota; Viridiplantae; Streptophyta; Magnoliopsida; Arecales; Arecaceae
Description: long non-coding RNA (EGUI_LNC030499)
Source: RNAcentral